Molecule: ribosomal RNA, 478 nt
Filed under: uncultured bacterium
Lineage: Bacteria
Description: partial 16S ribosomal RNA
Rfam family: Bacterial small subunit ribosomal RNA
Source: RNAcentral
GACGAACGCUGGCGGCGUGCUUAACACAUGUAAGUCGAACGAUGAACCGGAGCUUGCUCUGGGGAUUAGUGGCGAACGGGUGAGUAACACGUGGGCAACCUGCCCCAGACAUCGGGAUAACCACUCGAAGAGUGGCUAAUACCGAAUACGACCACUUUGGGCAUCCAACGGUGGUGGAAAGGAUUCUGGUCUGGGAUGGGCCCGCGGCCUAUCAGCUAGUUGGUGGGGUAAUGGCCUACCAAGGCGACGACGGGUAACCGGCCUGAGAGGGCGACCGGUCACACUGGGACUGAGACACGGCCCAGACUCCUACGGGAGGCAGCAGUGGGGAAUAUUGCGCAAUGGGGGGCAAACCCUGACGCAGCCAUGCCGCGUGAACGAUGAAGGCCUUAGGGUUGUAAAGUUCUUUACCCGUGACGAUGAUGACGGUAACGGGGGAAUAAGCUCCGGCUAACUUCGUGCCAGCAGCCGCGGUAAU